GGGGUCGUAGCUCAGUGGAAGAGUGCUUGCCUAGCAUGUGUGAGGGACUGGGUUCUCAGCACCAUAUAUAAAUAAAUAAUAAAAUAAAGGUCUAAUGACUAAAAAAAAAAAAAAAGAAUAUGAAUUCUGGAGUCAAACUCAUGAUGUUCAAACCCUGAUCCCA
This 163-nucleotide transfer RNA is filed under the name Marmota monax (woodchuck). Its description in RNAcentral is "tRNA.Ala". Lineage: Eukaryota; Metazoa; Chordata; Mammalia; Rodentia; Sciuridae. The record is from RNAcentral.